AUGGUUUAGUGAGGCCUUCUGACUGGCGCCGCUACUCUGGCAACAGAGCGGCGGAUGCCGGGAAGUUGGUCAAACUUGAUCAUUUAGAGGAAGUAAAAGUCGUAACAAGGUUUCCGUAGGUGAACCUGCGGAAGGAUCAUUACCGAUAGMACGAAUCCAAMCUGGUUAUCAUUAACCCGUGUGAACUGUACUUAACCUUUAGGGGUCGGUGAUAUCGCCGUUAAAUGGCCGUAAAUGGCCAGCCCCGCCUUUCGCCAUUGUGUACGCACUUGAAUGUAGCAGUCUGAAACUAAACCUUGCUGCCCGUCCUGCCGGGCAGUAGUGAGUGUGAACGAAAACGAGAGAGACAACUUUUAACGGUGGAUCUCUUGGCUCACGUAUCGAUGAAGAACGCAGCCAGCUGCGAUAAGUAGUGUGAAUUGCAGAAUUCAGUGAAUCAUUGAAUCUUUGAACGCAAAUGGCGCUCUUGGGUUCUCCCAGGAGCAUGUCUGUCUGAGUGUCGGAUAUUAUCUAACGCACUCGCAAGUGCGGAAUUGAGGCGUCACGGCGUAGUUUUAAACGCAAGUUUUUCGCCGUGUCCCUUGAAGGAAAGCGUGCUAGACUCGCAUCGUGCGGUUUCAAACUUGCACUCCAUGCGAAGGCUAAAACUAUUUUGUCCUUCGUCGGGGUGCCGGUCCGCGACAGACAGCGCGAGUUGGCCGAAAAAGGUGUAAAAAAGCAUCUUGACCUCAGAUCAGGCAAGGCUACCCGCUGAAUUUAAGCAUAUUAAUAAGCGGAGGAAAAGAAACUAACAAGGAUUCCCCUAGUAACGGCGAGUGAAGCGGGAAUAGCUCAAAUUUGAAAUCUCCGACGCUUGCGUCGGCGAGUUGUAGUUGCGAGAAGCACUUUCUCGGCGGAUCGGGCGUGCCUAAGUUGCUUGGAACAGUACGUCGCAGAGGGUGACAACCCCGUCUGUGGCGCGGCCGGCCGCUCACGA
Molecule: unclassified non-coding RNA, 976 nt
Filed under: Dendrophyllia arbuscula
Lineage: Eukaryota; Metazoa; Cnidaria; Anthozoa; Scleractinia; Dendrophylliidae
Description: sequence contains ITS1, 5.8S rRNA gene and ITS2
Rfam family: Eukaryotic large subunit ribosomal RNA (bases 724-976)
Source: RNAcentral